This is a non-coding RNA of Xyrichtys novacula (pearly razorfish), 3628 nucleotides long. NCBI's taxonomy places the organism in Eukaryota, Metazoa, Chordata, Actinopteri, Labriformes, Labridae. The record is from the annotation of a GenBank genome assembly.
UGUCCCUCCUAUCUCCUGAGGUGGGUGCAGAAGAAGAGUCCGAGGAGGGUGGAUAUGACAUCAAAAACAUCCUGCAGAAACCACAGUAUAGAAAUAAAACGAAUCACCCUGUGGAGACGGUUUCAGGAUGGAAAGAUGUAAAAAACAAACUUUUUAUAAACACCAAUCUUUUUCCUGAUUUCCUGUUAAGAUGUAGACUUUAUUUAAACUUCUAGAUCUCUCUCUCUCUCUCUCUCUCUCUCGCUCUCUCUCUCUCUCUCUCUCGGCGUGUCUUGACUCGACUUGACUUAACCCUCUGGAUGAAUCGCGGGCCAGCUGUUGACUAAUAGUCCACAUUCAGCGCUAAGAAAACAGCGUGUCACCACUCCACCCUGUGUCCUGAGUGUGGGUGGUGGGUGGUGGGAGCAGGGAGGGAGGUGCCGGCUGAGUAAAUGGGAUGGGGGUCGAGCAGGGGGGUGAAGCAGGACUUGUAGCUUUGUAUUGUUUGACUGACAGUGGGACAGCGUGGGGGAACGGGUGGUCCCGGCCCGGAGACAAUGCCUGAGAACACGCUGCCUCUCGGCUAAGCCCCCUUUGUGUGGCAGGGUGGGAAACCCCUUACAAAUGGCCGUCACUGGCAUGAUGCAUGCCUUUAUCAUGACUUGGGAAUCCGCUGCAUGAAAACACGGCCUGGUCUGGGAUGAGAUCUCGUUCUGCACGGACAGUUUUUAUGAGAUUAGGAUGUUGACAGACUCAUAGGUGUGAAAAUAAAACUCUGAGGAUUUACAGAUAUGCAAAGACGACUCCAGAAAAGAGUCUUUCUGCAAAACAUGACCCCAUUCGAUGGCAAUCAAGAUACUUCUGCUGGUACAACGUCUUAUCUGACACUUAAACCCUCAGAAAGUCAAGAUUUAGGCGCCUGACACAGUGUUAUCUGAGUUUAUAAUGAUUCCUUUAUGUCUUAAAUCGGCCCUCAGACCAAAAAAAAGGAAGUAGUCUCGAUCUGAAACAGUCAGCUAACAACAGAAAUGACUUAAGUUUUUGAAGGAUUCGAUCCGUUGAUUUUGAAAAUACUCAGAUCCCCUCCUGGUUGUUGCAGAAACACUCAGAGUUUAUCUGCCGGUCUAACGCAGCGAGUGGAUUUGUCAGUCAGUUAUAUUUACACUCUUGAUGAAGAUGCAACCGUACUCUUGUACAACUCCUGUUUCUAUAAAACCACGUCACAUCUGCUGCAGAUUGAUGACUUUUAUUUUGUUACUUAGCUCCUAUUCUUAUUUCCUGUUUUAUUUUGAAACUUCUCUCGUGUUUCCCGCUCCCUUGAUUACCAUGACGACCUCCUCUCGUUGUGUUAUAACCCUCGCUCCUCUUGCCUUUGUGCCAGUUGGUCUUGUUGGAAAGAUUCACACAAGAAUCACACCAAAAAAAUACAUUGUCCACACGGGGGCGCCAAAAUCAGUACAAAUAUAAAGUUCCUAACAGGAGCUUUAAACCUGUUUUCAGUCUGACAAUAACUGAUAAUUUUAGAAAGUAAAACACUGAUCUUGUGAUAAAAAUAAGUGACACCGUUUCAGAACAUAUCUUGUAUUAAAGUAAGGCUAAUAAUAGGGUGACCAUACGUCCUCUCUUACCCGGACAUGUUCUGGGUCCUGGGUUUUUGGGGGCUGUCCACAGGGUGUUAAUAAAAUCCUCAAAUGUCUGUGGUUUUGUAUGGAAGUUUUGAGUUUGUGUAGCGCGGACUAACUGAGUUAGAAGUGCGUAAAAAACACUGAUUUAAUGACAUCCCACCACGUUUUAACUUCAUCUGUGCGAGGGUGUAGGUGCAAAAACAGACCUGUUCACAUUAAACGUCACAAUUGACUGUUAAAAAUCAGCAUGCAGAUGGCCGAGCAGGUUAGACCACGGUCCCUGCAGUGGUCACAGGUUCGAGAUGGCCCUCUAUCUCUCUCUAUCUCCCCAUCUUUCACCCUAUUCUAUCAAUAAAAAGUAAAAAAUUGCCCCAAAAAAAUACUUUUAAAAAAUCAGCUUUGUCCACAGGGGGGCGCCAAAAUCAGCACAAAUAAAAAGUUCCCAACAGGAGCUUUAAACCUGUUUUUGGUUUGACAAAAACUGUCUAUUUAGAAAAUAAAACACUGAUCUUUUGAUAAAAAUUAGUGACCGAUUUGCAAGAAAUAUCUAAAGUGAGGCUAAUAAAAGACGGGUGACCAUACGUCCUCUUUUACCGGGACAUGUCCGGGGUCCUGGGUUCAAAUGUCCGGGAUUUUGUAUGGAAGUUUUGAAAGUCUGUAAAACACUUCACUUGCGCAACUCCAUCCUGCAUAGUCGUGUCCUCUCUGUGGGGAUCCAGAAUAUGGUCACCCGAGCUAAUAAUCCACCCUAAAUCAAAUAGUUAAAGGGAUAUUCCGGCGUAAAUGGGACAGGAUGAAGUUAAGUUUUUGUGACUUUGAGUGAAGUCAAAGUAUAUCUGAAUAAAACUGAUUUUUAAAGUUCUGGUUCUGUUAAAUCAGAGCAGAGAUGAGACGCUUUAAUUUGAAGUUUUAACCUACCGUCAUAUAAAACCCGCUCACUGUGAUUUAAUGACAUCCCACCACCUUUAAACUACAUCUGUCUCCAUUCAACGCUCCGUUUAAAAGCUCCAAUAAACAAACUGCUCAUCCAUUUUGUCGUUGACUUCCUCCAAACAGACUAACAAUGUGAAACUCAAGCCCGGCUUUGGGAGGAACACACCUCCUGAAGUUGAGGCUGUUUAUUCAGAAGCUUAGGAUUGUAUUCAGUGAGGAGGAGGUGAAGGAGGAGGAGGAGGAGGCAGAGGAGGAGGGGAGGGGACACGUUAGAGUAUCUGCUUACAUUCGGCCCAAUUAGCAACACAAUGGCGCAGGGAUUUACAGAGAAUCAAGUCUGCCUGUUUGUCAGCAUACAUCUGUUAAUUAUCAGUGUAAAUGAGGUCCCAAACAAUAAUUAUCAGCCACAAUCAGGUCAGGUGAAGAGGACCAGGAACUGUCAUUAAUUGUGUUUAAAAUGCUGACACCAAUUAGCGGCUCGAUCCGUCCCCCGUCCCCCGUCCCCCGCCGCCGCCGCCACCCACAGACCGCUCGCCCUGUUGUGGGGAUGAAACUCAUUACACUUCCUCCAGUGCACAGAGUGCCCAGUCAUACUGGUUCAGCUGGUCGGCCUUUCAGCUCCAGCUCACAGGAACACGCUGAGCGGUAAUGUAAUCUGGCAUGAGGUCAUGAAAUUCGUGGGCGAUUCGUUCCGAGCGUGGAAAACGAUACAGAGGGACUGGCGCUGAUAGCGAGCCUGUGAGAAAAACGGCGUAUGCAGAUGACCUCUGGGAGUUCAAAUGAAGUAGCAUUUGGAAGGUCGAUGUGGGUUUUUAAGACGCCAAACGCCGUCCUUGAGCGAGACAGUCGGUGGACGCCGCUUUGAUAAGAGAGAGAAAAACAAAGGAGGCGCAGAUUAAACCCAAACCUCGCCUGAUAAAGAAAGUUGACAGAAAGUUUCCCUCGGGUUUUAGUCGCUAAUAAACCUGCUCAGGUUGGCAGCAGAUGAGAGCGUGCAGACUCGCCCUGAUUCAUCAUCUUCCCCGCGAUGGGAGCGCCCACAGAGCAGGAAGUAUCUACAAUACGAGUCAAAUCCACAGAGGGAAUUUUCC